This 253-nucleotide ribosomal RNA is filed under the name uncultured bacterium. RNAcentral's name for it is "partial 16S ribosomal RNA". It matches the Rfam family "Bacterial small subunit ribosomal RNA", at positions 524 to 776 of the family's 1533-position model. The record is from RNAcentral.
UACGUAGGGAGCAAGCGUUGUCCGGAAUCAUUGGGCGUAAAGCGCGCGUAGGCGGCCUUGUAAGUCCGUUGUGAAAGUCAAAGGCUCAACCUUUGAAAGCCGAUGGAUACUGCAAGGCUAGAGUCCGGAAGAGGCGAGUGGAAUUCCUGGUGUAGCGGUGGAAUGCGCAGAUAUCAGGAGGAACACCAAUAGCGAAGGCAGCUCGCUGGGACGGUACUGACGCUAAGGCGCGAAAGCGUGGGGAGCGAACAGG